RNAcentral lists this ribosomal RNA (486 nucleotides) under uncultured bacterium. Its description in RNAcentral is "partial 16S ribosomal RNA". It matches the Rfam family "Bacterial small subunit ribosomal RNA", at positions 30 to 507 of the family's 1533-position model. The record is from RNAcentral.
AUUGAACGCUGGCGGCAUGCCUUACACAUGCAAGUCGAACGGCAGCACGGGUGCUUGCACCUGGUGGCGAGUGGCGAACGGGUGAGUAAUACAUCGGAACAUGUCCUGUAGUGGGGGAUAGCCCGGCGAAAGCCGGAUUAAUACCGCAUACAAUCUACGGAUGAAAGCGGGGGACCUUCGGGCCUCGCGCUAUAGGGUUGGCCGAUGGCUGAUUAGCUAGUUGGUGGGGUAAAGGCCUACCAAGGCGACGAUCAGUAGCUGGUCUGAGAGGACGACCAGCCACACUGGGACUGGGACACGGCCCAGACUCCUACGGGAGGCAGCAGUGGGGAAUUUUGGACAAUGGGCGAAAGCCUGAUCCAGCAAUGCCGCGUGUGUGAAGAAGGCCUUCGGGUUGUAAAGCACUUUUGUCCGGAAAGAAAUCCUUGGCCCUAAUACGGUCGGGGGAUGACGGUACCGGAAGAAUAAGCACCGGCUAACUACGUG